UCAACCUGAGAGUUUGAUCCUGGCUCAGAGCGAACGCUGGCGGCAGGCCUAACACAUGCAAGUCGAACGCCCCUUCGGGGGAGUGGCGGACGGGUGAG
This 98-nucleotide ribosomal RNA is filed under the name Phenylobacterium sp. SCN 70-31. RNAcentral describes it as "partial 16S ribosomal RNA". It matches the Rfam family "Bacterial small subunit ribosomal RNA", at positions 1 to 110 of the family's 1533-position model. Lineage: Bacteria; Pseudomonadati; Pseudomonadota; Alphaproteobacteria; Caulobacterales; Caulobacteraceae. The record is from RNAcentral.